Long non-coding RNA from Mauremys reevesii (Reeves's turtle), 451 nucleotides. RefSeq lists it as uncharacterized. Lineage: Eukaryota; Metazoa; Chordata; Testudines; Geoemydidae. The transcript has 3 exons. The record is from RefSeq and is a predicted model, not a curated record.
UUAUACCAGCUGAGGAUUGAAAAUAUGUUCUACUUUCCAAGCCUGAAAGGCACAAGUGCUGCUGUUUAGUCUGCUGCUAAAACAGUUUGCAUGACAGAGAUUGUAAUUGUCUCAGCUGUAAACACACACAGAGCAAAAAUCCACAGCCUUAUCUUCAAGAGAUGGAGAAAAUUAUUGGUAUGGGAAAGUUACACAUUGUUUUUGCAAAUUCUGAACUUUCAUUUCAACCAAACUAUUUUUUCCCAUUGCCAGGAUACAGCCAUCACAGCCAAUUUCUCAGCAUUGACAGUAGGAAGAUGCAUAUUAGAAGUGAUAUAGCACUGAGUUCAAGCAGCAUAACCAACAAUGCGAGCAGCAGAUUUAUAUACGAAUAGUUCAACUUUAAUGGGACUACUCAUAUGAUUGUUUACCAUGGUGAAUAAAGAUUCUACAGUCAAGUCCCGACUCCCAU